CAUUCAGAAAACUAAGAUCAUGACAUCCAGUCCCAUCACUUCAUGGCAAAUAGAUGGGGAAACAAUGGAAGCAGUGACAGAUUUUAUUUUCUUGGGCUCCAAAAUCACUGCAGACAGUGACUGCAGCCAUGAAAUUAAAAGACACUUGCACCUGGGAAGGAAA
This is a long non-coding RNA of Cervus elaphus (red deer), 163 nucleotides long. RefSeq lists it as uncharacterized. The transcript has 3 exons. The record is from RefSeq and is a predicted model, not a curated record. NCBI's taxonomy places the organism in Eukaryota, Metazoa, Chordata, Mammalia, Artiodactyla, Cervidae.